RNAcentral lists this ribosomal RNA (301 nucleotides) under uncultured bacterium. Its description in RNAcentral is "partial 16S ribosomal RNA". It matches the Rfam family "Bacterial small subunit ribosomal RNA", at positions 509 to 807 of the family's 1533-position model. The record is from RNAcentral.
CAGUCGCCGCGGUAAUACAGAGGGUGCGAGCGUUAAUUGGAUUUACUGGGCGUAAAGCGUGCGCAGGCGGUUAUAUAAGACAGAUGUGAAAUCCCCGGGCUCAACCUGGGAACUGCAUUUGUGACUGUAUAGCUAGAGUACGGCAGAGGGGGAUGGAAUUCCGCGUGUAGCAGUGAAAUGCGUAGAUAUGCGGAGGAACACCGAUGGCGAAGGCAAUCCCCUGGGCCUGUACUGACGCUCAUGCACGAAAGCGUGGGGAGCAAACAGGAUUAGAUACCCCGGUAGUCCCUGUCUCUUAUAC